This 490-nucleotide ribosomal RNA is filed under the name uncultured bacterium. Its description in RNAcentral is "partial 16S ribosomal RNA". It matches the Rfam family "Bacterial small subunit ribosomal RNA", at positions 30 to 507 of the family's 1533-position model. The record is from RNAcentral.
AUUGAACGCUGGCGGCAGGCCUAACACAUGCAAGUCGAACGGUAACAGGAAGCAGCUUGCUGCUUUGCUGACGAGUGGCGGACGGGUGAGUAAUGUCUGGGAAACUGCCCGAUGGAGGGGGAUAACUACUGGAAACGGUAGCUAAUACCGCAUAACGUCGCAAGACCAAAGAGGGGGACCUUAGGGCCUCUUGCCAUCGGAUGUGCCCAGAUGGGAUUAGCUAGUAGGUGGGGUAACUGCUCACCUAGGCGACGAUCCCUAGCUGGUCUGAGAGGAUGACCAGCCACACUGGAACUGAGACACGGUCCAGACUCCUACGGGAGGCAGCAGUGGGGAAUAUUGCACAAUGGGCGCAAGCCUGAUGCAGCCAUGCCGCGUGUAUGAAGAAGGCCUUCGGGUUGUAAAGUACUUUCAGCGGGGAGGAAGGGAGUAUAGUUAAUACCUUUGCUCAUUGACGUUACCCGCAGAAGAAGCACCGGCUAACUCCGUG